Molecule: ribosomal RNA, 463 nt
Filed under: uncultured bacterium
Lineage: Bacteria
Description: partial 16S ribosomal RNA
Rfam family: Bacterial small subunit ribosomal RNA
Source: RNAcentral
GACGAACGCUGGCGGCGUGCUUAACACAUGCAAGUCGAACGGUAAGGCCCUUCGGGGUCCCCGAGUGGCGAACGGGUGAGUAACGCGUGAGUAACCUGCCCUUCACUCUGGGAUAACAGUUGGAAACGGCUGCUAAUACCGGAUAUUCAGCUCCUGUCGCAUGGUGGGGGUUGGAAAGUUUUGGUGGUGGAGGAUGGGCUCGCGUCCUAUCAGCUUGUUGGUGGGGUGAUGGCCUACCAAGGCGUCGACGGGUAGCCGGCCUGAGAGGGCGACCGGCCACAUUGGGACUGAGAUACGGCCCAAACUCCUACGGGAGGCAGCAGUGGGGAAUAUUGCACAAUGGGCGGAAGCCUGAUGCAGCAACGCCGCGUGCGGGAUGACGGCCUUCGGGUUGUAAACCGCUUUCAGCAGGGACGAAGCGCAAGUGACGGUACCUGCAGAAGAAGCACCGGCUAACUACGUG